CAUGCAAGUCGAGCGGAGUUGANGGAAAGCUUGCUUUCCUGAUACUUAGCGGCGGACGGGUGAGUAACACGUAGGCAACCUUGCCCUCAAGCUUGGGACAACUACCGGAAACGGUAGCUAAUACCGAAUACUUGUUUUCUUCGCCUGAAGGNAACUGGAAAGACGGAGCAAUCUGUCACUUGAGGA
RNAcentral lists this ribosomal RNA (186 nucleotides) under Paenibacillus sp. 1. RNAcentral's name for it is "partial 16S ribosomal RNA". It matches the Rfam family "Bacterial small subunit ribosomal RNA", at positions 54 to 225 of the family's 1533-position model. Lineage: Bacteria; Bacillati; Bacillota; Bacilli; Caryophanales; Paenibacillaceae. The record is from RNAcentral.